GACGAACGCUGGCGGCGUGCCUUAUACAUGCAAGUAGAACGCUGAAGAGAGGAGCUUGCUCUUCUUGGAUGAGUUGCGAACGGGUGAGUAACGCGUAGGUAACCUGCCUUGUAGCGGGGGAUAACUAUUGGAAACGAUAGCUAAUACCGCAUAACAAUGGAUGACACAUGUCAUUUAUUUGAAAGGGGCAAUUGCUCCACUACAAGAUGGACCUGCGUUGUAUUAGCUAGUAGGUGAGGUAAUGGCUCACCUAGGCGACGAUACAUAGCCGACCUGAGAGGGUGAUCGGCCACACUGGGACUGAGACACGGCCCAGACUCCUACGGGAGGCAGCAGUAGGGAAUCUUCGGCAAUGGGGGCAACCCUGACCGAGCAACGCCGCGUGAGUGAAGAAGGUUUUCGGAUCGUAAAGCUCUGUUGUAAGUCAAGAACGGGUGUGAGAGUGGAAAGUUCACACUGUGACGGUAGCUUACCAGAAAGGGACGGCUAACUACGUG
RNAcentral lists this ribosomal RNA (497 nucleotides) under uncultured bacterium. RNAcentral's name for it is "partial 16S ribosomal RNA". It matches the Rfam family "Bacterial small subunit ribosomal RNA", at positions 28 to 507 of the family's 1533-position model. The record is from RNAcentral.